AAAGGUUUGGACAAAAAUAUGUGGGGAAGGUUGCCAAUCCACAGGAUAUUCUCAUAUUCUCAAAAUCUUCAAAGAAGUUUGGCAAGGAAGCUAAAUUUGAUGAUUCUGAGCGGCUUCGCCCUGAAGAAUUGAAUCAGCAAAACAUUGAAGCUUUAGUUGCUGAGAGCAAUUUGAAAAUGGAGGUACUUCCAGUCAGCGAUCUGGACGUUGCCCUG
RNAcentral lists this unclassified non-coding RNA (215 nucleotides) under Hevea brasiliensis (rubber tree). The record is from RNAcentral. Lineage: Eukaryota; Viridiplantae; Streptophyta; Magnoliopsida; Malpighiales; Euphorbiaceae.